UAAAUACACAGGAGAUCAUGGAGAAAACAGAAAACACAGGUAUAAAUACACAGGGGAUAAUGGAGAAAACACAGGUAUAAAUACACAGGAGAUCAUGGAGAAAACAGAAAACACAGGUAUAAAUACACAGGGGAUAAUGGAUAGUGGAGAAAAGUGGGAGACACCAGGAGGGGGAGGUGGAGACAAGCACAAGACAGGUGAAACAGAUCAGCGAGUGACAAAAUACAGAGGUGAACUAUCAAUUCCCCGGAUUCCUACCGCAAACUCUGAACCCUUUUCAUCUGGAUCAUGGCAGCUACCUAACCGCAACCCG
This 313-nucleotide long non-coding RNA is filed under the name Salmo salar (Atlantic salmon). RNAcentral describes it as "lncRNA (ENSSSAG00000108103.1)". Lineage: Eukaryota; Metazoa; Chordata; Actinopteri; Salmoniformes; Salmonidae. The record is from RNAcentral.